UCAUUCUAUUCCUCGAGAAAAAGGGAUGGAGUAGGUGCGUAUACUAUACUCGUAUACUCCCAUACUUAAAAAACAUAUUCAAACAAUGCGAUGUCUCGUCAAGAUCAAGAAAAUGCUUUCGACAAGAAAACGCUUUCGACAAGGAAAACUCUCGUAGAAAUAUGCGGAAAAAUAUUCAUACAAUGCGAUGUCUCGUCAAGAUCUUCCUAAAAGCAAACGACAAUCUGAGAUUCGUCUAAACGCUAGGAACUGAUCCAAACCAUGUUGGAAAAAUUCUCAAAGAAUAUACAGUAUCUAUCAUCGCAAUCAUUCGUUUAGAAAACCUCUGCCAAACUUCAGAAUGAAAGUCGAUGAUUUGAUGAAGUCAUAAAGAUCUUUUCCGAUUUGAUAAAACGAGUUUCGUAUAAGAAUCAUUAUACGAGAAAUCUACAGGCAUCAAAGCAUCACUCUCAUUUUCAGUUGAACCAACCGACUCACGUAAAAACAUCAAAAACAUUUGCGACAAAGCAAAAUCAAGAACAAAAGUAACAGAAAACACGACAAAGAGAACACGUCCUCCCCGCUCAUCGACUAAGUCUAUCGCUGUUUAACUGAUUCAUUCAAGAAACCUGCAAAAAUGUUUCGCGACUAGAUCUAGGUGAAAUAACCUUUGGUAAAACUCCAUGAGUGACUCAGAGAAUCUUUCACCGAAGAAUAAAAACAAAAUCGAAAACGUUUCUCAAAAAUCUGCGGAAACAUCGUUAUUUUGACAUCUCCAUAUGUCGCAUCAAUUUAAUAAAUUCGUAAAAACCGGUCGCCCGUUACUUACGCAAAAAAUCCUUCGUAUAAUCAGAUCAUGUUAUACGAAGUAACUUUCAAAAGUCAACAUAAUAGGUUUUACAAAAAAGUACUUUCCUUAUAGCAAAAAACCAAGCUGUAUGAUCCGACAUUGGACGAUAAUUUUAACUUUACUUCCUCGCACCACGAUCUGAAAGGUCUCAUUCUUUAGCCCUUGCGACUCACUGGCAUCCGCUCUCAUUCUGCUUGGUCACGUCCAAGCAGGAAAUCACCCCGCAAUUGACUCCGCACGGGCUCUGUAUCGAGCUUCUUAGGCUUUAUCUCCCUC
This 1105-nucleotide long non-coding RNA is filed under the name Brassica napus (rape). Its description in RNAcentral is "long non-coding RNA (BNAP_LNC009531)". Lineage: Eukaryota; Viridiplantae; Streptophyta; Magnoliopsida; Brassicales; Brassicaceae. The record is from RNAcentral.